This 238-nucleotide ribosomal RNA is filed under the name uncultured bacterium. RNAcentral describes it as "partial 16S ribosomal RNA". It matches the Rfam family "Bacterial small subunit ribosomal RNA", at positions 15 to 245 of the family's 1533-position model. The record is from RNAcentral.
GAUCCUGGCUCAGGAUGAACGCUAGCUACAGGCUUAACACAUGCAAGUCGAGGGGCAGCAUCAUCAAAGCUUGCUUUGAUGGAUGGCGACCGGCGCACGGGUGAGUAACACGUAUCCAACCUGCCGACAACACUGGGAUAGCCUUUCGAAAGAAAGAUUAAUACCGGAUGGCAUAAUUAUUCCGCAUGGGAUAAUUAUUAAAGAAUUUCGGUUGUCGAUGGGGAUGCGUUCCAUUAGG